RNAcentral lists this long non-coding RNA (489 nucleotides) under Chelonus insularis. Its description in RNAcentral is "uncharacterized LOC118073358, transcript variant X1". The record is from RNAcentral. Lineage: Eukaryota; Metazoa; Arthropoda; Insecta; Hymenoptera; Braconidae.
UAUAAAUAAUCCAUAUUUACGUGAUUAGAUCGAGAAUAAAAAUUUUAUUCGACAUUAAAAAUAGGCGUCAAAAAUAUUCGGAAUUUUAUUUUCAUUUUUACUAUAUAAGAUGUUUCCAUAGGGGAGCUGAGUUUUUUUUUAUAGUCUGAAGAUAGCCAUUAAAAAUAGGUGGGUAAACAUCAGGUAUCUAGUCUCAAUCAUCCCUAGGAUAUUUGAUGCACAACAAGGGAAAGUGAGGUAUAAUCGAGGGCUAAACAAAUCCUGCAAUUUUUUUAUGACUUUGAGGGACGCCCUUAGAACCUCAUAUUGAAGUGUUUACUUCAUGGCUUGGAUCUUUGAAAUUGAAAAUAAAAAAGCGUUCAAUUUCUUCAUGGCAAGUACCUGGUAUUGACAUUACGCCGCACUGUACAAACUCAAGAAGGUCAUAUUUACAGUCGAAAUACUCUGGAGACAAUCAUAGAACAUAUUAGAGAAAGAAUAUAUUGCAAA